Molecule: long non-coding RNA, 216 nt
Filed under: Mytilus galloprovincialis (Mediterranean mussel)
Lineage: Eukaryota; Metazoa; Mollusca; Bivalvia; Mytilida; Mytilidae
Source: RNAcentral
AUAACUCAUGUCAGCACAAUGGCUGACUACUGGGCUGGUGAAAACCUCGGGGAAUACAAACUAUAAUAGAAAUACAAAAAUGUGGUAUGAGUGCCAAUGACACAAGUUGUCAAAUCUCCUUCCAAGUCCCAAUGUGUUAAAGGAAACAAUCAUAGGUCAGACUACGGCCUUCAACACGGAGCUUAGACUCACACCGAACAGUAAGCAAUACAAGAC